This 1704-nucleotide long non-coding RNA is filed under the name Callithrix jacchus (white-tufted-ear marmoset). RNAcentral describes it as "lncRNA (ENSCJAG00000061733.2)". Lineage: Eukaryota; Metazoa; Chordata; Mammalia; Primates; Cebidae. The record is from RNAcentral.
AUCUCCUCAUCAGAGGCUAUUCUAGCAGGCCUAACUGGCCUUCUUCGGAAACCCUGCGGGGGUGACGCCCUUGGGCAGCCCCAGGGCGUUGACGGCGGCCGGCGGCGGCUGCGAGUUGCUGGAUCUUCAGCGGGUCGGUCGCGUCCCGCCGCUGCCCGAGUCCGCGUCCGGAGAGAGCGGGAGCCGCUGAGGACUCCGCCUAUCCGUCUUUAUAAAUUUGCCCACGCACACGAAGCUUGCCGGAUCCACACCUGUGUCACAGCGGAGGACCCCAGGGCUCUUCCUCGCCUUGACAAUGUGUGGAAUCCUGGCUGGGAUGCCCCAGGUGAGCUGCCCAUACAGGUCAUCAGGGAGGCCUCCCCAAGCAGGAGCUGGCUGAGCAUCACGGGCAUAUCCCACCAGGCUGUGGGCAGUUCUGAGGGAGGAGAUGACCUGCUUCUGGCCCGGCUGUCAUUUUGGUGCUUGUCAUGGCAUCUGUUGUUCCUCUCAUGUCACAAUUUUAUAGAUGGCUUAUUUCCUGGCGGAAUGCAGGGGAAAAGAUUAGUAGGAACAUCGCCUCCUCUAUUUGCUGAGUCUAUUUACCCCUUCUGUGCUCCUAGGUGGUGACACCUCCAGGAAAGCAGGGCUUCAGCUGUCGCAGAGAUCACAAAAACCUGGCCUUCCUCACUGCUAACUCUGUUAAUGAUGGGCUAACUCUGCAGCUGGUAGGAGCAAGGAAUACAGUUGAAGCGUAUCUUCAAAUUCUAAUAUCUUUUAAAUGGCUUUUAAAAAUGUUGUUGGCCAGGCGCAGUGGUCCACGGCUUUAAUCCCAGGACUUUGGGAGGCUGAGGCAGGCAGAUCAUGGGAUCAGGAGUUCAAGACCAGCCUGACCAACAUGGUGAAACCUGUCUGUAUUAAAAAUACAAAAAAAUUUAGCCAGGCAUGUGAUCCUGGCUACUCACGAGGCCGAGGCAGGAGAAUCGCUUGAACCCAGGAGAUGGAGGUUGCAGUGAGCCAAGAUUGCACCACUGCACUUCAGCCUGGGCAGCAGAGUGAGACUUCAUCUCAAAAAAAAUAAAUAAAUAAAAGGAAAACAUUGUUAUUUUUUUUAUGUGAAAACCCAAAAUUCAUGGAUAAAGUUGGAAACCACCAUUCUCAGCAAACUGACACAAGAACAGAAAACGAAACACUGCGUGUUCUCACUCAUAAGUGGGGUUGAACAAUGAGAACACAUGGGUACAGGGAGGGGAACAUCACACACCAGCGCCUGUCAAGGGGUCGGGGGCUAAAGGAGGGAGAGCAGUGGGUGGGGAGAUUGGGAGGAGAAAUACCUAAUGUAGAGGACCGGGAGAUGGAUACAGCAAACCACCAUGGCACGUGUAUACCUAUGUAACUUCCUGCAUGAUCAGCAUAUGUACCCCAGAACUUAAAGUAUAAUUUUUAAAAUAAUAAAUAAAUAAAUAAAUGAAAGUACAUUUCACAAGGUCACCUUUUGUGAGCACACCACAGCUGCGUGCGAACGCCCCCUCAGCAGCAGUUGCUUCUCCAGGGUCUUCAGCCAUGAUCCUGCUCCCCUCAUGGGAUCAGCUGCCCUCCUUCUUUAGGACAGGUCCAGGCUCCUCUUCAGUCUCCCCCAUUGGUCUCUGAGUCAGGGGCCUGGCUCCCGAUGCUAUGUGAGUUCAGCAAAGUGGAGCUCUACUUCCUUCACUGAGACGUUGGGAACCC